UACGUAGGGGGCAAGCGUUGUCCGGAUUUACUGGGUGUAAAGGGCGUGCAGCCGGGCUGACAAGUCAGAUGUGAAAUCCCGCGGCUCAACCGCGGAACUGCAUUUGAAACUGUCAGUCUUGAGUACCGGAGAGGUCAUCGGAAUUCCUUGUGUAGCGGUGAAAUGCGUAGAUAUAAGGAAGAACACUAGUGGCGAAGGCGGAUGACUGGACGGCAACUGACGGUGAGGCGCGAAAGCGUGGGGAGCAAACAGG
This 253-nucleotide ribosomal RNA is filed under the name uncultured bacterium. Its description in RNAcentral is "partial 16S ribosomal RNA". It matches the Rfam family "Bacterial small subunit ribosomal RNA", at positions 524 to 776 of the family's 1533-position model. The record is from RNAcentral.